RNAcentral lists this long non-coding RNA (1354 nucleotides) under Carassius auratus (goldfish). RNAcentral's name for it is "lncRNA (ENSCARG00000038349.1)". Lineage: Eukaryota; Metazoa; Chordata; Actinopteri; Cypriniformes; Cyprinidae. The record is from RNAcentral.
UUCUGUAGAUCAAGAGUUCAUUCAUAAAGACAAUCAUAAGAACAAUGAUUUAGACUAAUCUUAACAAAAUGAAAUAAAACAAAUUCUCCUUUUUUGCAUCACCUCCAUUCACCUUCCAAAGCUGCUUUGAAUGUCAAAACCUACUAGUAACAUUAAGCAAAUAAUCAGCCUCUAAAAACGAGGCCUAGACUGCACUGUAGCUUAUUAGGAUAAAGGGAAACAAUGAAGCCCAUAUAUUCCACAUGAAUGCAAAAACGUGCAUAUGUUGCCCACCAAAUCUGAGUUUAAGCUGAGCUUUUAACAGCAAUCUUUUGUAAAGACAAUGAGUGCAUAUAUAUUAAAAAACUACACGAGCAAAUACUUCAGUCCAAACUAAAAUUCUUAAGUCUGAAAAUAAAAUAUCAGCCUGUUUUACACUAUGCUGUGGCAACAAAGUGAAAUAUCCAUUCACCAGUACACCAGUCCUUCAUUUCACAGCAUGGCCUCACUUGUGGCUUCCAUAUGAAAUAAACAGCAUCUGUGCUGGAGAAAGUUUACCCAGCCUGCUGUAAGAGUGACUCAGUGCACAGAGAGAGUGAAUGUGUCAGAGUGUUUUGUGACGGUAGGAUUAGCUCACAGUAAAUUUCCUUUUCCUUAUGACACGCUACUCAUGCUCACAUUCCUGUUCUCAAUUCCAGUUACUGAAAAGAAUGAGGAGCCUGUGUAGAGAUGUUUGGAGCUUUGGUGAGGAAACGUAGCAGUCUACAUCAGAGGGAAAAUAUCUACUCCACCCUACAACAGAAUGGUUUGAGAGACACUAGUGACCACAGAGAUGGGCUCAGGAGAAGUGAUACAUUGUGUAAGGUCUAUUGAGGAGUUAUUACGUGUCUCCAGACAGUUUGGGUUGCCAAGAUGCCUCAUUCUCUGUUGAGUCAUAUAGAGAGGAGCCACAUGAAUCAGUGACUUCAAUGGAAAUGCAGUCAUCACACAAAAGGGUGCAACAACUUCUAGGUCGGAGUGCAUUCAGUCUGAAAGUGAAUAUGAAAUAGCAGAUAUUACAGUGAUAGAAAAAGAGGUUGUUACCAAGUAUUCAAGAUUGGAGGUCACUGGAAAGCAAUAUAAAUAAAUCACUACUUUUAACUAAAUAAGAUGUCAGAAAAUAACUAUUUUAAUAAAAGAAAAUAUUUACCUCUGGUAAAAAUAAAUUGUUAUUAGGAUCCAUUUAUGUCAAAUGAUUAAAUGAAAGUAAUAUAAAUACAUUAUUUUUCAAGUGAAUUUAAAUUAAAAGUUUUAUAAUAUAUUGUAUAAUUAAAAUUAUCAAACUGCUACAUAAAAAAAUCAAAACAUGAAACUUAACAUUUUGUUAUUUAUGCAC